RNAcentral lists this ribosomal RNA (497 nucleotides) under uncultured bacterium. Its description in RNAcentral is "partial 16S ribosomal RNA". It matches the Rfam family "Bacterial small subunit ribosomal RNA", at positions 28 to 507 of the family's 1533-position model. The record is from RNAcentral.
GAUGAACGCUGGCGGCGUGCCUAAUACAUGCAAGUCGAGCGAACAGAUGAGGAGCUUGCUCCUCUGACGUUAGCGGCGGACGGGUGAGUAACACGUGGAUAACCUACCUAUAAGACUGGGAUAACUUCGGGAGACCGGAGCUAAUACCGGAUAAUAUAUUGAACCGCAUGGUUCAAUAGUGAAAGACGGUUUUGCUGUCACUUAUAGAUGGAUCCGCGCCGCAUUAGCUAGUUGGUAAGGUAACGGCUUACCAAGGCAACGAUGCGUAGCCGACCUGAGAGGGGGAUCGGCCACACUGGAACUGAGACACGGUCCAGACUCCUACGGGAGGCAGCAGUGGGGAAUCUUCCGCAAUGGGCGAAAGCCUGACGGAGCAACGCCGCGUGAGUGAUGAAGGUCUUCGGAUCGUAAAACUCUGUUAUUAGGGAAGAACAAAUGUGUAAGUAACUAUGCACGUCUUGACGGUACCUAAUCAGAAAGCCACGGCUAACUACGUG